UUAAGCAUAUAAGUGAGUGGAGGAUGAGAAACUAAACAGGAUUCCUUUAGUAAUGGCGAAUGAAGAAGGAGUAGCUCAACAUGAAAAUCUGGGCAUCUGGCCUUGAAUUGUAGUUUGAAGAUGCAUUUGCCAAUGGACAUGAUAAUGAAAGCCUUUUGGGAAAAAGCAUCAACGAGGGUGAGAAUCCUUCUUGACAUUUCAAUUGUCCAUGUACGGUGUGCAUUGAAGAUUCACGUUCCUUGGGAUUUGAACGCAAACUUGUUGGUAAAUUUCAUUUAAAGCUAAAUAUUGGUUUGAGACCGAUAGAAAACAAGUACCAUGAGGGAAAAGUGAAAAGGACUUUGAAAAGAAAGUUAAAAGUGCUUGAAAUUGCUGAAGAGGAAGCGGGUGUAUUUCGCACGCAAUUCUCAAGAUUGUUGCGCAUAUCUCUGAUACCUUGUUGUCUUGAUUUAAUUGCAGCAAUAAGUUAUAUUUGUGAAUGCGCAAUGUUGCUUGUGUUUUGUGCCUUCAUCGAUUCACAGCCAUAGAAACAAUCUAAACAUGAAUCUUUGCUCUUGUGCAAAAGAACAUUUAGGUUCAGAUUUAGCUUGUGGAUCGCUCUUAAUAUUGUUGAUUGCUUAAUCGUCCUUGCGCCUUGCGUGCGGGAUGAUUUCACGACAUGAAAAUGAUGGCCAAAGAAAUACAUUCGACCCGUCUUGAAA
RNAcentral lists this ribosomal RNA (701 nucleotides) under Protoceratium reticulatum. RNAcentral's name for it is "partial large subunit ribosomal RNA". It matches the Rfam family "Eukaryotic large subunit ribosomal RNA", at positions 34 to 659 of the family's 3401-position model. Lineage: Eukaryota; Dinophyceae; Gonyaulacales; Protoceratiaceae. The record is from RNAcentral.